Long non-coding RNA from Triticum aestivum (bread wheat), 1677 nucleotides. RefSeq lists it as uncharacterized. NCBI's taxonomy places the organism in Eukaryota, Viridiplantae, Streptophyta, Magnoliopsida, Poales, Poaceae. The record is from RefSeq and is a predicted model, not a curated record. The transcript is spliced from 4 exons.
CGGCGUUUGGGACCGUGGCGACGGACGUCCAAGCUAGGUUCGGUAGGCCCACCACAUCCUUUAACCCAGCCCAUCGUCGGUGUUGUCCUCGUUCGAUCCCCAAUUUGCUCCAACAAACCCUAGCCGCACAGUGCAUCGUUAAUCGACCCCCAAAUCGAACAAGACACCCAAGCUGGUAAGGAUGGCAGAUGCAGUUGCUGAUCCGGUCGCCCUGCCAAUCGCGCCUUGCCCGGAUUGUGGCAGGAACGUCGUGCCCUAUGUAGCUCGUCGCUGCCAGCACGACGUCGAGCGUUUCUACAAGUGCCGCAGUCACAUCGAGGACGCCCGCAUCUGACCUGUCUGUCCCGGGAGUAAGCUCCGAACCCUCCUCCGUCCCUGGUGGCUAGAGGUAGGUGCUAAUUUUUUAGGUCGGCGAAGGUUGGAUUGCUCUACACUCAACAGACAGAAUGGAUCCAUUCAGUUCAGUUUCCGAAUGUGUUUUUUCCUAACUUCCUAUGCUUAUUGAGGGGAUAAUAACAGACCAAAAGUAAUGUAAGUUGUAGUGGUCUAUGCUUAUUAGCAGGGAUGGGAUUUUGAAGGAAAUUUGACUCCCCAUCUUUGUCUUGGAUGGCAAUUGCAGUCGAGUAAAGGAUGGGAUUUUGCAGAGGAAAUUCGACUCCCCAUCUUUGUCUUGGAUGGCAAUUGCAGUCGAGUAGAACUUUCUCUGUCUUGUCUGAAACAAACAAACACACACCUCUCAUCAGGGAAAUAAACAUAUUAAUUUAGGUGCAGGGCUCUGAGUGAAAUCAGGUUUUAUUAAUUUAGGUGCGAAGAAGGCUCUGCAAGUUUGCAUUCAGUAAAUAUGCUCUUUGAAAUUUACACAUAUGGUGAAUUAUGUAAGAAUAGGAAACCAAGUCUGCACUGGGUUUGGCAGCUUCUGGUGUUGGUCGACGCAAUCAACAAUGGACACUGCUGGAAGGAAACCAAGAACAGGAAGUUUGUCUAUGCCUGCUCGAAUGAACAAGCUAAGGGCUGCAAAUGUCCACAAGGCUUCAAGGGUGAUGGCGUACACGGCUGCAAAGGAGUAUCUACAAGAGGCAGGGCGAGGAAGGAGCAAUGAUUGGAGUCGUAGUAAUAGGAGAGGCGACGGUGGGGAAGGAUUGAUUCCGCCACUCAGGUGGUGAUUCCACCGGCGUUGCUACAAGCUCGUUCCAUGGUGUGGCGAUUCUGCCACUCAGGUGAGCGUCGGCUUCGGCGGGUGGGGCGCAGUUGCUGGUGGCGUAGAUGGACGCCAAAAUUGCGCUGGUGGGUGGCAGCGGCAUCACGCAGCUGGGCGGCAGCUGCCCCCCGGUGAUGUGCAGGCGACGAACGGAGGAAGAAGCAGACGGGGACCUAUUUCAAACAGUUUUGGAAGUACGAGUGGUAAAGCAAAAAAAAUUAGGCAUCAUUGUCGAUCAUGAGAGAUGGGUGACAGUCAGGGUUUACGCUAAAGAAAGUUUUCAGUACGACACAUCAUUUUUUCACUUGCCUUGUUAGCACGUUUUGCGGAUGCUUUCCGCCCAUGAAGCUGAAACAGCCUUGUACAAACGGAACAGGUGCAAGCUGGACCACCCACCACCGUUAGCUUAGACGGCGUUGUCUGCGUAUGCCACGUUUGUAUUGGACGUAUCAAUCCUGUUUCUAUACGGUCACAUUUAA